AACGAACGCUGGCGGCAUGCCUAACACAUGCAAGUCGAACGAGACCUUCGGGUCUAGUGGCGCACGGGUGCGUAACGCGUGGGAACCUGCCCUUAGGUUCGGAAUAACUCCCCGAAAGGGGUGCUAAUACCGGAUAAUGUCUUCGGACCAAAGAUUUAUCGCCUUUGGAUGGGCCCGCGUUGGAUUAGCUAGUUGGUAGGGUAAAAGCCUACCAAGGCGACGAUCCAUAGCUGGUCUGAGAGGAUGAUAAGCCACACUGGGACUGAGACGCGGCCCAGACUCCUACGGGAGGCAGCAGUGGGGAAUAUUGGACAAUGGGCGAAAGCCUGAACCAGCAAUGCCGCGUGAGUGAUGAAGGCCUUAGGGUUGUAAAGCUCUUUUACCCGGGAUGAUAAUGACAGUACCGGGAGAAUAAGCUCCGGCUAACUCCGUG
RNAcentral lists this ribosomal RNA (433 nucleotides) under uncultured bacterium. RNAcentral describes it as "partial 16S ribosomal RNA". It matches the Rfam family "Bacterial small subunit ribosomal RNA", at positions 29 to 507 of the family's 1533-position model. The record is from RNAcentral.